This 440-nucleotide ribosomal RNA is filed under the name uncultured bacterium. Its description in RNAcentral is "partial 16S ribosomal RNA". It matches the Rfam family "Bacterial small subunit ribosomal RNA", at positions 338 to 795 of the family's 1533-position model. The record is from RNAcentral.
CCUACGGGAGGCAGCAGUAGGGAAUAUUGCUCAAUGGGGGAAACCCUGAAGCAGCAACGCCGCGUGGAGGAUGAAGGUUUUAGGAUUGUAAACUCCUUUUGUUAGAGAAGAUUAUGACGUUAUCUAACGAAUAAGCAACGGCUAACUCCGUGCCAGCAGCCGCGGUAAUACGGAGGGUGCAAGCGUUACUCGGAAUCACUGGGCGUAAAGGGUGCGUAGGCGGGGUAAUAAGUCAGAUGUGAAAUCCUGUAGCUUAACUACAGAACUGCAUUUGAAACUGUUACUCUUGAGUGUGGGAGAGGUAUGUGGAAUGCUUGGUGUAGGGGUAAAAUCCGUAGAGAUCAAGAGGAAUACUCAUUGCGAAGGCGACCUGCUGGAACAUUACUGACGCUGAUGCACGAAAGCGUGGGGAGCAAACAGGAUUAGAUACCCCAGUAGUC